AGCUAAUACCGGAUACCCCCACCGAGCGCAUGGUUUGGUGAGGAAAUGGAUUCCGCUUCGGGAGGGCCUCGCGGCCUAUCAGCUAGUUGGUGGGGUAGCGGCCCACCAAGGCAUCGACGGGUAGCUGGUCUGAGAGGACGAUUCAGCCACACUGGGACUGAGACACGGCCCAGACUCCUACGGGAGGCAGCAGUGGGGAAUCUUGCGCAAUGGGCGAAAGCCCUGACGCAGCAACGCCGCGUGGGGAUGAAGGCUCUCGGGUUGUAAACCCCUUUCAGCAGGGACGAAUCAAGACGGUACCUGCAGAAGAAGCCCCGGCUAACUACGUG
This 329-nucleotide ribosomal RNA is filed under the name uncultured bacterium. Its description in RNAcentral is "bacterial SSU rRNA". It matches the Rfam family "Bacterial small subunit ribosomal RNA", at positions 161 to 507 of the family's 1533-position model. The record is from RNAcentral.